CCUACGGGAGGCAGCAGUGGGGCAUAUUGCAAAAUGGGGGAAACCCUGAUGCAGCGACGCCGCGUGAGUGAAGAAGUAUUUCGGUAUGUAAAGCUCUAUCAGCAGGGAAGAAAUAGCGACCUUUGGGUCGCCAGACGGUACCUGACUACGAAGCCCCGGCUAACGACGUGCCAGCAGCCGCGGUAAUACGUAGGGGGAAAGCGUUAUCCGGAUUUACUGGGUGUAAAGGGAGCGUAGACGGCAGCACAAGUCUGAAGUGAAAUGCCGGGGCUUAACCCCGGAACUGCUUUGGAAACUGUGCAGCUAGAGUGCAGGAGAGGUAAGUGGAAUUCCUAGUGUAGCGGUGAAAUGCGUAGAUAUUAGGAGGAACACCAGUGGCGAAGGCGGCUUACUGGACUGUAACUGACGUUGAGGCUCGAAAGCGUGGGGAGCAAACAGGAUUAGAUACCCGGGUAGUC
Molecule: ribosomal RNA, 458 nt
Filed under: uncultured bacterium
Lineage: Bacteria
Description: partial 16S ribosomal RNA
Rfam family: Bacterial small subunit ribosomal RNA
Source: RNAcentral